GAUGAACGCUGGCGGCGUGCCUAACACAUGCAAGUCGAACGGAGUCCAGCCUUUAAGACCUUCGGGUCAAAGAGGGGAAGACUGAGUGGCGGACGGGUGAGUAACACGUGGGCAACCUGGCUCAUAGAGGGGGAUAACAGAGAGAAAUUUCUGCUAAUACCGCAUAAGCACACACUGCCGCAUGGCAGAGGGUGAAAAGAGAAUCGCUAUGAGAUGGACCCGCGUCUGAUUAGCCAGUUGGCAGGGUAAGAGCCUACCAAAGCGACGAUCAGUAGCCGAUCUGAGAGGAUGAACGGCCACAUUGGGACUGAGACACGGCCCAAACUCCUACGGGAGGCAGCAGUGGGGGAUAUUGCACAGUGGGGGGAACCCUGAUGCAGCGACGCCGCGUGAGUGAAGAAGUAUUUCGGUAUGUAAAGCUCUAUCAGCAGGGAAGAUAAUGACAGUACCUGAAUAAGAAGCCCCGGCUAACUACGUG
Molecule: ribosomal RNA, 478 nt
Filed under: uncultured bacterium
Lineage: Bacteria
Description: partial 16S ribosomal RNA
Rfam family: Bacterial small subunit ribosomal RNA
Source: RNAcentral